UACGGAGGAUGCGAGCGUUAUCCGGAUUUAUUGGGUUUAAAGGGUGCGUAGGCGGUCCGGAAAGUCAGCGGUAAAAGCCCGGGGCUCAACCCCGGCGAGCCGUUGAAACUGGGGGCCUUGAGUGGGCGAGAAGAAGGCGGAAUGCGUGGUGUAGCGGUGAAAUGCAUAGAUAUCACGCAGAACCCCGAUUGCGAAGGCAGCCUUCCGGCGCCCUACUGACGCUGAGGCACGAAAGUGCGGGGAUCGAACAGG
Molecule: ribosomal RNA, 252 nt
Filed under: uncultured bacterium
Lineage: Bacteria
Description: partial 16S ribosomal RNA
Rfam family: Bacterial small subunit ribosomal RNA
Source: RNAcentral